Molecule: transfer RNA, 65 nt
Filed under: Paratanytarsus hyperboreus
Lineage: Eukaryota; Metazoa; Arthropoda; Insecta; Diptera; Chironomidae
Description: tRNA-Lys
Source: RNAcentral
CAUUAGAUGACUGAAAAGCAAGUAAUGGUCUCUUAAACCAAAAAAUAGUAAACUAGUAUAUACUU